RNAcentral lists this ribosomal RNA (301 nucleotides) under uncultured bacterium. RNAcentral describes it as "partial 16S ribosomal RNA". It matches the Rfam family "Bacterial small subunit ribosomal RNA", at positions 509 to 807 of the family's 1533-position model. The record is from RNAcentral.
CAGCAGCCGCGGUAAUACGUAGGGUGCAAGCGUUAAUCGGAAUUACUGGGCGUAAAGCGUGCGCAGGCGGUUCGCUAAGACAGAUGUGAAAUCCCCGGGCUUAACCUGGGAACUGCAUUUGUGACUGGCGGGCUAGAGUAUGGCAGAGGGGGGUAGAAUUCCGCGUGUAGCAGUGAAAUGCGUAGAUAUGCGGAGGAACACCGAUGGCGGAGGCAGCCCCCUGGGCCAACACUGACGCUCAUGCACGAAAGCGUGGGGAGCAAACAGGAUUAGAUACCCGCGUAGUCCCUGUCUCUUAUAC